GAGUAGUACUGGAAAUAAAGUUUGCAUAUAUCAAAUAUUUUAAUCACGUAUUUUUCAAAGCAGAGAAAAGAUUUUGAACGAGCAUUCAGACUUUUCAAAUGAGAUAAGAUACAUAUGUACAAGUUGUUUUUGUUUCUAUAUGCUUUUAUAUGCAAUUAAAUAUGCAUGGAUUGCUAGUGGACCUUCGAGUUCUAGAAAAAGAGAUAUGAAAUUCCUACUGGAAUUUAAGAGGACCAAAGAUGAGUGUGUCACUUGGUUACCGAUAUACUUCAUAAGAGCAGAGUGAUUUGUGCGGGUCGAUUGGAACAUGUGGAAUGGUGAUGCGGACGGCCAAGAAGAAAAUUAUUCAUUAAGUUUUCUGUCUUUUAAUUUAAUUAGUUUGAUUUGUUUUGGAAGAAUAUAAAUGUUAUUGAAUUAGUUAGUUGAGUAUGUUUAUUUUAAAGAUACAAUUAUCAUGUUUUAAGUUAAAUUUGUGAAGGGUUCACUUAUCUGUUUAUUAAAGAAUUUUAUUUAUAUA
Long non-coding RNA from Olea europaea var. sylvestris, 517 nucleotides. RefSeq lists it as uncharacterized. Lineage: Eukaryota; Viridiplantae; Streptophyta; Magnoliopsida; Lamiales; Oleaceae. The transcript has 2 exons. The record is from RefSeq and is a predicted model, not a curated record.